Long non-coding RNA from Suricata suricatta (meerkat), 1068 nucleotides. RefSeq lists it as uncharacterized. NCBI's taxonomy places the organism in Eukaryota, Metazoa, Chordata, Mammalia, Carnivora, Herpestidae. The transcript is spliced from 3 exons. The record is from RefSeq and is a predicted model, not a curated record.
CCCAGGUGCCCCAUCCUUCUGCCCACUCGUCGGCCCAGCGCCCACACACGCCUACUUGAUCGAUUCCAGGAAGAGGGCAUCUGUGUACAAGUCAGUGGUCCAGGUGCGAAACAACACAAAGAGUGCCCUUCCCUGGACACUGGGAUGGCUGGCCUUCCUGUUGCUGAAGGACAAUUGCCUAUUUGAAAAGUAAAGCAGACAGUAUAGAGGUGGGAACAGAAGAUAGCUGAGGACAAAAAUAAAUUUAUAUAAACUAGAUAUAAGUGACAAGACCAUCGGAGGAGAGAAGACACCCACUGCUGUGCUCAACCCCGACUGAAACAAAGGGAGACCAGCCUCCUGGAUAGCCCAGGCCAGGGAGAAGCCAGCAUAUGGACGAGUGUGACAGUGCUGGGGGUGGGGGCAGGCAUAAAGCAACACUCUGCUACCCUCAACACUUCCCUUCAGGUUUCGGUGAGUCCUGGGCUUUCUGUCUCCAAAAUGCAGGCAAGAUAGAAGAUCCCCGAGAAUCUCCCCAAGAUACUCCAGGCUUUCUGUUGAUGAACACAGAGGGAAGAACCACCUGACAGGAGCCUCUCAGAGGAGAUACCUACUUUCAUAAAGUGGGGUCUGCGUUACAGUCCCAACAGCCUUCUCAAGGCCAAGUGUGGGGCUGCAGAGCCAACAGAAAGCUGGCCCAACACACAGGGCAGGUCCGAGACAGGCUCCCAGUGACCUAGAGAAGCAUCACCUGGGAUCUGAAGCAGAGACUGCCCUGCAUUCAUAAAGCAGGGCAUGCCUGUGGCACAUUGUGGUCUCUUUGUGUGCAUCGGGGAGCCUCCCCAGGGCUCUGACCCCAGGCCCGGCAGAAGGCGAGUCAGGAUCCCAGCCUCAGACAGGUAAACAGAAUUGACCAAAGCUGCUGCAAAUUCCAGAGAUAGCCCCACUACAGAGAAUGCUCACUCAGUUUCCACUCUCUUGAUCUGAUGGGAGAAGAGAUGAGUGUCUCCUUGGAGACAGAAGGGAAGAAAGAUCAGGGAAGGAGAGAAGAAAAAAGAUAGGAAGAAAAAGAGAAAGAGGGAAGAGGAA